Molecule: ribosomal RNA, 303 nt
Filed under: uncultured bacterium
Lineage: Bacteria
Description: partial 16S ribosomal RNA
Rfam family: Bacterial small subunit ribosomal RNA
Source: RNAcentral
AGCAGUCCGCGGGAAUACGUAGGGUGCGAGCGUUAAUCGGAAUUACUGGGCGUAAAGCGUGCGCAGGCGGUUUUGUAAGACAGGCGUGAAAUCCCCGGGCUCAACCUGGGAAUGGCGCUUGUGACUGCAAAGCUAGAGUGCGGCAGAGGGGGAUGGAAUUCCGCGUGUAGCAGUGAAAUGCGUAGAUAUGCGGAGGAACACCGAUGGCGAAGGCAAUCCCCUGGGCCUGCACUGACGCUCAUGCACGAAAGCGUGGGGAGCAAACAGGAUUAGAUACCCCUGUAGUCCCUGUCUCUUAUACAC